This 246-nucleotide unclassified non-coding RNA is filed under the name Hevea brasiliensis (rubber tree). Lineage: Eukaryota; Viridiplantae; Streptophyta; Magnoliopsida; Malpighiales; Euphorbiaceae. The record is from RNAcentral.
CUGGGGUUCUCUCAUCACCUAGAUGGGAAAAGAAAAAAUUCCAAGGGCAAUAACCUGGGUUUCAUUUCUUGAUUCUCAACUAGCUGCUGCUUUAACUGCUUUCUCUGCAGCAUCAUCCAAGUCUUCCGCUGUGAUUAGCUCCAUUCCACUUUCCUUGAGUAUUCUCUUUCCUAGGUCAACAUUAGUGCCUUCUAGACGAACCACCACAGGUACUUUUAGUGCAACCUGUUUGGCUGCAUUAACAAU